AGGGGAGUGAAAAAGAACCUGAAACCGUGUACGUACAAGCAGUGGGAGCCCCACCACUAAGCCAGUGGUGAACUCCACAUACGCAUCCUUUGCUGAGGAUACGGUUAACGGAGCGAAAGCGACGUUCAACCGCAAAAGAAGCAGAGGGGGCUUAGUGGUGGGGUGACUGCGUACCUUUUGUAUAAUGGGUCAGCGACUUAUAUUCUGUAGCAAGGUUAACCGUAUAGGGGAGCCGUAGGGAAACCGAGUCUUAACCGGGCGUUAAGUUGCAGGGUAUAGACCCGAAACCCGGUGAUCUAGCCAUGGGCAGGUUGAAGGUUGGGUAACACUAACUGGAGGACCGAACCGACUAAUGUUGAAAAAUUAGCGGAUGACCUGUGG
RNAcentral lists this ribosomal RNA (381 nucleotides) under Salmonella enterica subsp. enterica serovar Heidelberg. RNAcentral's name for it is "bacterial LSU rRNA". It matches the Rfam family "Bacterial large subunit ribosomal RNA", at positions 532 to 814 of the family's 2925-position model. Lineage: Bacteria; Pseudomonadati; Pseudomonadota; Gammaproteobacteria; Enterobacterales; Enterobacteriaceae. The record is from RNAcentral.